RNAcentral lists this ribosomal RNA (462 nucleotides) under uncultured bacterium. RNAcentral's name for it is "partial 16S ribosomal RNA". It matches the Rfam family "Bacterial small subunit ribosomal RNA", at positions 29 to 507 of the family's 1533-position model. The record is from RNAcentral.
AGUGAACGCUGGCGGCGUGCCUAAUACAUGCAAGUCGAACGGAGAUUAAGUAGCUUGCUAUUUAAUCUUAGUGGCGCACGGGUGAGUAAUAUAUAGCUAACUUGCCCAUUACUAAGGGACAACAGUUGGAAACGACUGCUAAUACCUUAUACUCCGUAUCUAUAUAAGUAGAUACGGGAAAGUUUUUCGGUAAUGGAUAGGGCUAUAUCGUAUCAGCUAGUUGGUAAGGUAAUGGCUUACCAAGGCUAUGACGCGUAACUGGUCUGAGAGGAUGACCAGUCACACUGGAACUGAGGCACGGUCCAGACUCCUACGGGAGGCAGCAGUAGGGAAUAUUGCUCAAUGGGGGAAACCCUGAAGCAGCAACGCCGCGUGGAGGAUGACACUUUUCGGAGCGUAAACUCCUUUUCUUGGGAAAGAAUUAUGACGGUACCCAAGGAAUAAGCACCGGCUAACUCCGUG